RNAcentral lists this ribosomal RNA (533 nucleotides) under uncultured bacterium. RNAcentral's name for it is "bacterial SSU rRNA". It matches the Rfam family "Bacterial small subunit ribosomal RNA", at positions 976 to 1509 of the family's 1533-position model. The record is from RNAcentral.
CGGCCUUGACAUACUAAGAACUUUCCAGAGAUGGAUUGGUGCCUUCGGGAACUUAGAUACAGGUGCUGCAUGGCUGUCGUCAGCUCGUGUCGUGAGAUGUUGGGUUAAGUCCCGCAACGAGCGCAACCUUUUCCUUAUUUGCCAGCGGGUCAUGCCGGGAACUUUAAGGAUACUGCCAGUGACAAACUGGAGGAAGGCGGGGACGACGUCAAGUCAUCAUGGCCCUUACGGCCAGGGCUACACACGUGCUACAAUGGUCGGUACAAAGGGUUGCUACCUCGCGAGAGGAUGCUAAUCUCAAAAAGCCGAUCGUAGUCCGGAUCGCAGUCUGCAACUCGACUGCGUGAAGUCGGAAUCGCUAGUAAUCGCGGAUCAGAAUGCCGCGGUGAAUACGUUCCCGGGCCUUGUACACACCGCCCGUCACACCAUGGGAGUUUGUUGCACCAGAAGUAGGUAGUCUAACCGCAAGGAGGACGCUUACCACGGUGUGGCCGAUGACUGGGGUGAAGUCGUAACAAGGUAAGCGUAGAUGA